Molecule: ribosomal RNA, 292 nt
Filed under: uncultured prokaryote
Description: partial 16S ribosomal RNA
Rfam family: Bacterial small subunit ribosomal RNA
Source: RNAcentral
GUGUCAGCCGCCGCGGUAAUACGUAGGUGGCAAGCGUUGUCCGGAAUUAUUGGGCGUAAAGGGCUCGCAGGCGGUUCCUUAAGUCUGAUGUGAAAGCCCCCGGCUCAACCGGGGAGGGUCAUUGGAAACUGGGGAACUUGAGUGCAGAAGAGGAGAGUGGAAUUCCACGUGUAGCGGUGAAAUGCGUAGAUAUGUGGAGGAACACCAGUGGCGAAGGCGGCUCUCUGGUCUGUAACUGACGCUGAGGCGCGAAAGCAUGGGUAGCGAACAGGAUUAGAAACCCCUGUAGUCC